GGGAUUGUAGCUCAGUGGUAGAGUGCUAGCCUGGGUGAGGCCUGGGUUCAAUUCCUUGUACUGCCA
Molecule: transfer RNA, 66 nt
Filed under: Ictidomys tridecemlineatus (thirteen-lined ground squirrel)
Lineage: Eukaryota; Metazoa; Chordata; Mammalia; Rodentia; Sciuridae
Description: Spermophilus tridecemlineatus (thirteen-lined ground squirrel) tRNA
Rfam family: tRNA
About the family: Transfer RNA (tRNA) molecules are approximately 80 nucleotides in length.
Source: Rfam by way of RNAcentral